GGGUCAGUAGGUUGGUCGUGCCACCGGUACGUACUGGUCUCACUGAUUCCUCCUUCCUGAAGAACCGUAAUGCCGUUAAUUUGGUGUUGCGGGGAAACAGGACUGUUACUUUGAAAAAAUUAGAGUGUUUAAAGCAAGCUAACGCCUGAAUACAUUAGCAUGGAAUAAUGAAAUAGGACGAUCGAUCCUAUUUUGUUGGUUUCUAGGAUUGACGUA
RNAcentral lists this ribosomal RNA (216 nucleotides) under Glomeromycotina sp. RNAcentral describes it as "partial small subunit ribosomal RNA". The stretch from base 40 to 216 matches the Rfam family "Eukaryotic small subunit ribosomal RNA", at positions 686 to 864 of the family's 1831-position model. The record is from RNAcentral. Lineage: Eukaryota; Fungi; Glomeromycota.